AGCAGCCGCGGUAAUUCCAGCUCCAAUAGCGUAUAUUAAAGUUGUUGCAGUUAAAAAGCUCGUAGUUGAAUUUCGGGGUUAGUAGGCUGGUCAUGCCUCCGGUAUGUACUGGUCUCACUGAUUCCUCCCUCCUGACGAACCUUAAUGCCAUUAAUUUGGUGUUUUGGGAAAUUUGGACUGUUACUUUGAAAAAUUAGAGUGUUUAAAGCAAGCUAACGCUUGAAUACAUUAGCAUGGAAUAAUGAAAUAGGACGUUCGAUCCUAUUUCGUUGGUUUCUAGGAUCGACGUAAUGAUUAAUAGGGAUAGUUGGGGGCAUUAGUAUUCAAUUGUCAGAGGUGAAAUUCUUGGAUUUAUUGAAGACUAACUACUGCGAAAGCACUUGCCAAGGAUGUUUUCAUUAAUCAGUGAACGA
This 413-nucleotide ribosomal RNA is filed under the name uncultured Glomus. Its description in RNAcentral is "SSU rRNA". It matches the Rfam family "Eukaryotic small subunit ribosomal RNA", at positions 569 to 986 of the family's 1831-position model. Lineage: Eukaryota; Fungi; Glomeromycota; Glomeromycetes; Glomerales; Glomeraceae. The record is from RNAcentral.